UUAGGGAGACCUGCUGCCAUCAUGACCGACCCAAACAUUUAGGUCAGAUGCCAGUCAUCCCAAGGUCGUGCGAGGAAACAACUGGGCAGAAAGCUUUCAAACUCUUAAACGGUUCGGUUUAUGGGCUAUUAGCUCAGGUGGUUAGAGCGCACCCCUGAUAAGGGUGAGGUCCCUGGUUCGAGUCCAGGAUGGCCCACCUAGAAAUAGUGUUAAGUUUUAAGUGCUGAGUUUUGAGUUAAGAAAUUAACUACUCAAAAUUCAAAACUCAAAACUCAAAACUAUUGUGGGGGUAUAGCUCAGCUGGUAGAGCGCUGCCUUUGCAAGGCAGAUGUCAGCGGUUCGAGUCCGCUUACCUCCACUCGACCAGUAAAACCAAAAAAAUCAAAAUACCUUGUUUAUCUUCCCUGAUUGGUGAUAGACUAGAAAAAGUGGAAAAAAAGAAUCCUGCAACUGUUAGGUGAAGUCCUUGCAGCCUGCUGGAAUUCUUUCCAGCCAGAACCUUGAAAACUGCAUAGCAACAAGUCAUAGGUAGUCAGUAGAAAGUAGAAGUCAUUAAUUUGACAACUACGGAAAUUACAGACUUUGAUUUAAGU
This 593-nucleotide transfer RNA is filed under the name coccoid cyanobacterium CMT-3BRIN-NPC115. RNAcentral describes it as "16S-23S ribosomal RNA intergenic spacer". The stretch from base 286 to 358 matches the Rfam family "tRNA". The record is from RNAcentral. Lineage: Bacteria; Bacillati; Cyanobacteriota.